This 877-nucleotide ribosomal RNA is filed under the name uncultured bacterium. Its description in RNAcentral is "bacterial SSU rRNA". It matches the Rfam family "Bacterial small subunit ribosomal RNA", at positions 8 to 915 of the family's 1533-position model. The record is from RNAcentral.
AGAGUUUGAUCCUGGCUCAGGAUGAACGCUGGCGGCGUGCCUAACACAUGCAAGUCGAGCGAACCCUUCGGGGUGAGCGGCGGACGGGUGAGUAACGCGUGGGUAACCUGCCCUGUACACACGGAUAACAUACCGAAAGGUAUGCUAAUACGAGAUAAUAUAUUUUAAUCGCAUGGUUAAGAUAUCAAAGCUCCGGCGGUACAGGAUGGACCCGCGUCUGAUUAGCUAGUUGGUGAGGUAAUGGCUCACCAAGGCGACGAUCAGUAGCCGACCUGAGAGGGUGAUCGGCCACACUGGAACUGAGACACGGUCCAGACUCCUACGGGAGGCAGCAGUGGGGAAUAUUGCACAAUGGGCGAAAGCCUGAUGCAGCAACGCCGCGUGAGCGAUGAAGGCCUUCGGGUCGUAAAGCUCUGUCCUCAAGGAAGAUAAUGACGGUACUUGAGGAGGAAGCCCCGGCUAACUACGUGCCAGCAGCCGCGGUAAUACGUAGGGGGCUAGCGUUAUCCGGAAUUACUGGGCGUAAAGGGUGCGUAGGCGGUCUUUCAAGCCAGAAGUGAAAGGCUACGGCUCAACCGUAGUAAGCUUUUGGAACUGUAAGACUUGAGUGCAGGAGAGGAGAGUGGAAUUCCUAGUGUAGCGGUGAAAUGCGUAGAUAUUCGCAAGAACACCGGUGGCGAACGCGGCCAACUGGACCAUUACUGACGCUGAGCGCGAAAGCGUGGGGAGCAAACAGGAUUAGAUACCCUGGUAGUCCACGCCGUAACGAUGAAUGCCAGCUGUUGGGGGUGCUUUGCACCCUCAGUAGCGCAGCUAACGGCUUUGGAGCACCGCCUGGGAAGUACGCUCGCAAGAGUGAAACUCAAAGGAAUUGACG